CAGUCGCCGCGGGAAUACGUAGGUGGCGAGCGUUGUCCGGAAUUAUUGGGCGUAAAGGGAGCGCAGGCGGACAUAUAAGUCCAUCUUAAAAGUGCGGGGCUCAACCCCGUGAGGGGAUGGAAACUGUAUGCCUUGAGUGCAGGAGAGGAAAGCGGAAUUCCCAGUGUAGCGGUGAAAUGCGUAGAUAUUGGGAGGAACACCAGUGGCGAAGGCGGCUUUCUGGACUGUAACUGACGCUGAGGCUCGAAAGCCAGGGGAGCGAACGGGAUUAGAUACCCCCGUAGUCCCUGUCUCUUAUACA
RNAcentral lists this ribosomal RNA (301 nucleotides) under uncultured bacterium. Its description in RNAcentral is "partial 16S ribosomal RNA". It matches the Rfam family "Bacterial small subunit ribosomal RNA", at positions 509 to 809 of the family's 1533-position model. The record is from RNAcentral.